GACGUUACCUACAGAAGAAGCACCGGCUAACUCCGUGCCAGCAGCCGACGGUAAUACGGGAGGGUGACGAGUACGUUAAGUACGGUAAUUACGUGGGACGUAAAAGCGCAUGCAGGCCGGCCUUAGUUAAAGUCAGAUGUAGAAAACGGCCCGGGUACCUUAAACCCGUACGGUAAAUUGCUAUUUUAGAAAACGUGGCAGGCUAGAGUCUUGUAGAGGGGGUAGAAUUUCAGGUGUAGCGGUGAAAAUGCGUAGAGAUCUGAAGGAAUACCAGUGGCGAAGGCGGCCCCUGGACAAAGACUGACGCUCAGAUGCGAAAGCGUGGGGAGCAAACAGGAUUAGAUACCCUGGGAA
This 354-nucleotide ribosomal RNA is filed under the name uncultured bacterium. Its description in RNAcentral is "bacterial SSU rRNA". It matches the Rfam family "Bacterial small subunit ribosomal RNA", at positions 471 to 793 of the family's 1533-position model. The record is from RNAcentral.